GGGGCCCUGAAAACAAUCCAUACUAAAAAGGAAAAUGAAGUACUUUUUGCUGAGUUUUAAUCACUGUAUUGACGCUUUCUGUAGAUAAUUCUGAAAGAAAUUAGACAUCACACAGUUAUUCAUGCUGCAAGACUGACAUCCCUUGUGCUUGAAUGGACCAAGCUGGUCUGCAUACAUGCACUUUGAUAGAACAUUAUCC
This 199-nucleotide long non-coding RNA is filed under the name Elaeis guineensis (African oil palm). RNAcentral describes it as "long non-coding RNA (EGUI_LNC041025)". The record is from RNAcentral. Lineage: Eukaryota; Viridiplantae; Streptophyta; Magnoliopsida; Arecales; Arecaceae.